GCGCCUGUAGCUCAACGGAUAGAGCACUUCGCUUCGGACGAAGGGGUUGGGGGUUCGAUUCCCUUCAGGCGCGCCC
RNAcentral lists this transfer RNA (76 nucleotides) under Candidatus Microgenomates bacterium. RNAcentral describes it as "tRNA-Arg". It matches the Rfam family "tRNA". Rfam says of the family: Transfer RNA (tRNA) molecules are approximately 80 nucleotides in length. Lineage: Bacteria; Candidatus Microgenomatota. The record is from RNAcentral.